UACGUAGGGGGCAAGCGUUGUCCGGAUUUAUUGGGCGUAAAGAGCGUGUAGGCGGCCAGGUAGGUCUGCUGUGAAAACUCGAGGCUCAACCUCGAGACGUCGGCGGAAACCAUCUGGCUAGAGUCCGGAAGAGGAGAGUGGAAUUCCUGGUGUAGCGGUGAAAUGCACAGAUAUCAGGAAGAACACCCGUGGCGAAGGCGGCUCUCUGGACAGUUCCUGACACUGAGACACGAAGGCCAGGGGAGCAAACGGG
RNAcentral lists this ribosomal RNA (253 nucleotides) under uncultured bacterium. RNAcentral's name for it is "partial 16S ribosomal RNA". It matches the Rfam family "Bacterial small subunit ribosomal RNA", at positions 524 to 776 of the family's 1533-position model. The record is from RNAcentral.